Long non-coding RNA from Cercocebus atys (sooty mangabey), 322 nucleotides. RefSeq lists it as uncharacterized. Lineage: Eukaryota; Metazoa; Chordata; Mammalia; Primates; Cercopithecidae. The record is from RefSeq and is a predicted model, not a curated record. The transcript has 3 exons.
UUUCCAUAUCUUAAGUAAGUCCUAAGCGUGUCCUUUGUGUGUUUGACAGGUCACCCACUGGCUGUCCUGGCAAGGAGAGUGGCCACAGAAAAAUCUCGGUGUGGUGGCGUUAUUACUAACUCAUCUGGAGCGAUUAGGAAUCCCCCACAGAAUGAAAUGCAUGACAACAUCACUUGUGUGUGGGAAAUCAAGGCGAAUGCAUCUGAUCAUAUACUGCUGGCAUUUCCACAUCUUGAUCUCGACUGCACCAAUGAAUAUUUUGAAAUCCUAGACGGUCCUCCAUCCUCAGCAAAGUCAUUGGGGAGGACCUGCUCUGGCUUCC